Molecule: ribosomal RNA, 253 nt
Filed under: uncultured bacterium
Lineage: Bacteria
Description: partial 16S ribosomal RNA
Rfam family: Bacterial small subunit ribosomal RNA
Source: RNAcentral
UACGUAGGUGGCAAGCGUUGUCCGGAUUUACUGGGCGUAAAGAGCGCGCAGGCGGUCGUCCAAGUCGCGUGUGAAAGCCCCCGGCUCAACUGGGGAGGGUCGUGCGAUACGGUCGGACUCGAGGCCAGUAGGGGGACGCGGAAUUCCGGGUGUAGUGGUGAAAUGCGUAGAGAUCCGGAGGAACACCAGAGGCGAAAGCGGCGUCCUGGGGUGAGGUUGACGCUCAGACACGAAAGCAUGGGGAGCGAUCCGG